UCCCUCUCAGUAUCACACCUGGAGAGUUCUCAGCACUCUACCAGUCUUGGCUACGGGAGGAAGAAUCAAGCAAAGACACCCCCUUUCCAUUCCUAGCUGGCAGUGGCUAGUGAGUGGAAGGCAAUCUGCUACAAGU
Tachyglossus aculeatus (Australian echidna) is the source of this 136-nucleotide small nucleolar RNA. Lineage: Eukaryota; Metazoa; Chordata; Mammalia; Monotremata; Tachyglossidae. The record is from RefSeq and is a predicted model, not a curated record.